GUUAAAAGGGAGAAGAUUAAAGAAAGAAAAGUUAUUUUGAUAAUCUAUUUAAUGAAAGUUAUAUAGAUAAUAUAGAAUAUUUUGCUUGUUUCAUUAAGGAUAGAAAUAUUAAGCAUAUACAUAGAAUUAUAUUAUCUAAGAUAAUAAAGGAUAUGAAAAGAUAAAAAUAGGAAAAGAUAGAAUCUCUAUUGAUGUAACAUAAAAAUAACUUGAUUGACUAAUUUAUAAUAUGAGAUUUUAAAGGCUAAAGAGGUAUCUAAU
RNAcentral lists this long non-coding RNA (261 nucleotides) under Elaeis guineensis (African oil palm). RNAcentral's name for it is "long non-coding RNA (EGUI_LNC012468)". The record is from RNAcentral. Lineage: Eukaryota; Viridiplantae; Streptophyta; Magnoliopsida; Arecales; Arecaceae.